Molecule: ribosomal RNA, 345 nt
Filed under: uncultured bacterium
Lineage: Bacteria
Description: bacterial SSU rRNA
Rfam family: Bacterial small subunit ribosomal RNA
Source: RNAcentral
GGUGCGUAGGCGGCCUAUUAAGUCAGGGGUGAAAGACGGUAGCUUAACUAUCGCAGUGCCUUUGAUACUGAUGGGCUUGAAUACACUAGAGGUAGGCGGAAUGUGACAAGUAGCGGUGAAAUGCAUAGAUAUGUCACAGAACACCAAUUGCGAAGGCAGCUUACUAUGGUGUGAUUGACGCUGAGGCACGAAAGCGUGGGGAUCAAACAGGAUUAGAUACCCUGGUAGUCCACGCCCUAAACGAUGAACACUCGAUGUUAGCGAUAUACAGUUAGCGUCUAAGCGAAAGCGUUAAGUGUUCCACCUGGGGAGUACGCCCGCAAGGGUGAAACUCAAAGGAAUUGA